Molecule: ribosomal RNA, 209 nt
Filed under: uncultured bacterium
Lineage: Bacteria
Description: partial 16S ribosomal RNA
Rfam family: Bacterial small subunit ribosomal RNA
Source: RNAcentral
GACGAACGCUGGCGGCGUGCCUAAUACAUGCAAGUCGAGCGAAUCUUGAGGUGCUUGCACCUCUUGGUUAGCGGCGGACGGGUGAGUAACACGUGGGCAACCUGCCUGUAAGACUGGGAUAACACCGGGAAACCGGUGCUAAUACCGGAUAAUCCUUUCCUCUCAUGAGGAAAGACUGAAAGUACGGUUUCGGUCUGACACUUACAGAU